UACGUAGGGUGCAAGCGUUGUCCGGAAUUAUUGGGCGUAAAGAGCUCGUAGACGGUUUGUCGCGUCUGCUGUGAAAACUCGGGGCUUAACCCCGGGCCUGCAGUGGGUACGGGCAGACUAGAGUGCGGUAGGGGAGACUGGAAUUCCUGGUGUAGCGGUGAAAUGCGCAGAUAUCAGGAGGAACACCAGUGGCGAAGGCGGUGCUCUGGGCCACUACUGACGCUGAGAAGCGAAAGCGUGGGGAGCGAACAGG
Molecule: ribosomal RNA, 253 nt
Filed under: uncultured bacterium
Lineage: Bacteria
Description: partial 16S ribosomal RNA
Rfam family: Bacterial small subunit ribosomal RNA
Source: RNAcentral